CUGGGAUUACAGGCAUGAGCCACUGCACCCAGCCAGUUCUCCUAUUUUUAAAUUUAUUUUUAUUUUAUUGUGGUAAGAACACUUGAUGUGAGAUUUACUGUUUUAACAAAGUUUUAAGUGUACAAUACAUUUUCCAUUUUCUUUUUCUCCUACAUGUAGGAUUUGGGUACUUACUGAGUACACUGUGCCCAAUGCUAAAUUAAGUGCUUGGAUAGAGAAAGGAGGUUUGAAAAAUUAGAAGCCUUGGCUUUUACCUUCGAAGACUUCAUAUUGAAGAAAGGACACCAUAAAGAUGUGACAUACUCAGAGAAUAAUCAUCAUUCCAGUGAAUUGCUGAAAGAUAAUUUAGACCAUAAGAACUGGUCUUCAAAUUGAAAUUGGAUAUAAGCCCCGUGGGGCAGGAAGUUUUGUUCAUUGCUGGAUUCCCCAGUGCCUAGAACAGUGCCAGGCAUAGUUGGCACUCAUUCCUUCAUAUUUAUUGAAUUGGCCAAUAAAGUAGUGCAGUGUUGCUUUUGAGGGAAGGAGUAUGAAGGCUGGAGAGCAUUGAGUCCUGCAGAGAAGCUUGGAUUUGUGAGAGUAAGAGAGGCACAUAUGUUCUGGGGCAGAGAAGGUUGAUGCAAUAGUAAUUGUUCCAGAGAAACUGUUCCUGCAGCUGUCAUUGCAGCUGGAAUAGAAGUGAUAGAAACCAAAUCCUGUACUACUGCAAACCAAGCCAGGAGGGGACUGCAAGAAAAUAUUGACUUGACUGAGUUUAAGACAAGGUCUCUCCUUCUGUCACCCAGGCAGGCUGGAAUGCACUGGCACG
Molecule: non-coding RNA, 805 nt
Organism: Chlorocebus sabaeus (green monkey)
Lineage: Eukaryota; Metazoa; Chordata; Mammalia; Primates; Cercopithecidae
Source: RefSeq, a predicted model, not a curated record